Molecule: ribosomal RNA, 859 nt
Filed under: Trichoderma protopulvinatum
Lineage: Eukaryota; Fungi; Ascomycota; Sordariomycetes; Hypocreales; Hypocreaceae
Description: LSU rRNA
Rfam family: Eukaryotic large subunit ribosomal RNA
Source: RNAcentral
AGUAACGGCGAGUGAAGCGGCAACAGCUCAAAUUUGAAAUCUGGCCCCUCUCGGGGUCCGAGUUGUAAUUUGUAGAGGAUGCUUUUGGCGAGGCGCCGCCCGAGUUCCCUGGAACGGGACGCCACAGAGGGUGAGAGCCCCGUCUGGCUGGCCGCCGAGCCUCUGUAAAGCUCCUUCGACGAGUCGAGUAGUUUGGGAAUGCUGCUCAAAAUGGGAGGUAUAUGUCUUCUAAAGCUAAAUACUGGCCAGAGACCGAUAGCGCACAAGUAGAGUGAUCGAAAGAUGAAAAGCACCUUGAAAAGAGGGUUAAAUAGUACGUGAAAUUGUUGAAAGGGAAGCGCUUGCGACCAGACUUGGGCGCGGCGGAUCAUCCGGGGUUCUCCCCGGUGCACUUCGCCGCGUCCAGGCCAGCAUCAGUUCGUCGCGGGGGAUAAAGGCUUCGGGAACGUGGCUCCCCCGGGAGUGUUAUAGCCCGUCGCACAAUACCCUGCGGUGGACUGAGGACCGCGCAUCUGCAAGGAUGCUGGCGUAAUGGUCACCAGCGACCCGUCUUGAAACACGGACCAAGGAGUCGUCUUCGUAUGCGAGUGUUCGGGUGUCAAACCCCUACGCGUAAUGAAAGUGAACGCAGGUGAGAGCUUCGGCGCAUCAUCGACCGAUCCUGAUGUUCUCGGAUGGAUUUGAGUAAGAGCAUACGGGGCCGGACCCGAAAGAAGGUGAACUAUGCCUGUAUAGGGUGAAGCCAGAGGAAACUCUGGUGGAGGCUCGCAGCGGUUCUGACGUGCAAAUCGAUCGUCAAAUAUGGGCAUGGGGGCGAAAGACUAAUCGAACCUUCUAGUAGCUGGUUUCCGCCGAAGUU